UGUCCAGUCCCUUCAAGCUGCGAGUGCUGCCUACCCAUGAUGCCAGUAAGGUGGUGGCUAGUGGUCCAGGUCUAACCACUGGAGUGCCAGCCAGCUUUCCAGUGGAGUUCACCAUCGAUGCCAAGGACGCAGGAGAGGGACAACUAUCCGUCCAGAUCACAGACCAAGAUGGGAAGCCGAAGAGGGUUGGUAUCCAGGACAACCGUGACGGGACCUACCUGGUGUCCUACGUACCUGACAAGGUGGGGCGGUACACCAUCGUGAUCAGAAUACGGAGGAGAUGAGAUCCCUGCCUCGCCCUACCGGGUCAGAGCCACGUCCUCAGGAGACGCCAGCAAAUGCACCGUCGCAGGUCCUGGUAUCGCCCCGUCAUCGCGGUCGGGGAAGAGGUGGGCUUUGUGGUGAACGCUAAGGCAGCUGGGAAGGGGAAGGUGACAUGUAUCGUGGUGACGCCC
Long non-coding RNA from Oncorhynchus gorbuscha (pink salmon), 455 nucleotides. RefSeq lists it as uncharacterized. Lineage: Eukaryota; Metazoa; Chordata; Actinopteri; Salmoniformes; Salmonidae. The transcript has 3 exons. The record is from RefSeq and is a predicted model, not a curated record.